UGGGGAAUUUUGGACAAUGGGGGAAACCCUGAUCCAGCCAUCCCGCGUGUGCGAUGAAGGCCUUCGGGUUGUAAAGCACUUUUGGCAGGAAAGAAACGUCGCGGGUUAAUACCCCGCGAAACUGACGGUACCUGCAGAAUAAGCACCGGCUAACUACGUGCCAGCAGCCGCGGUAAUACGUAGGGUGCAAGCGUUAAUCGGAAUUACUGGGCGUAAAGCGUGCGCAGGCGGUUCGGAAAGAAAGAUGUGAAAUCCCAGAGCUUAACUUUGGAACUGCAUUUUUAACUACCGGGCUAGAGUGUGUCAGAGGGAGGUGGAAUUCCGCGUGUAGCAGUGAAAUGCGUAGAUAUGCGGAGGAACACCGAUGGCGAAGGCAGCCUCCUGGGAUAACACUGACGCUCAUGCACGAAAAGCGUGGGGAGCAAACAGGAUUAGAUACCCUGGUAGUCCACGCCCUAAAACGAUGUCAACUAGCUGUUGGGGCCUUCGGGCCUUGGUAGCGCAGCUAACGCGUGAAGUUGACCGCCUGGGGAGUACGGUCGCAAGAUU
RNAcentral lists this ribosomal RNA (549 nucleotides) under uncultured bacterium. Its description in RNAcentral is "partial 16S ribosomal RNA". It matches the Rfam family "Bacterial small subunit ribosomal RNA", at positions 355 to 895 of the family's 1533-position model. The record is from RNAcentral.